UAAGAAUUUAUUUAAUGCAUUGACUGCCCAGUGAUUUAAUUAUUUAACGGCUGUGGUCAUACAUACAAAGGUAGCAUAAUAAGUUGUUUUUUAAUCGAAAUCCAGUAUGAAUGUUUCUAUGAGAAUAAAACUGUCUCUUAUUUGUAAAAGAAAAUUAAUUUAAAAGUGAAGAAGCUUUUAUCUUAUAAAAAGACGAAAAGACCCCGAUGAAUUUUAGAUUAAACACAUUUUAGUGCUAUAUCUUUUACUGGGGUAGUAUUUGAGAUUUUGUCUUAUAAUUUAAUAAAAAUUCAUGUGGAUCCUCUAUUAGAGGUAAUAAGUAAAAUUACCACGGGGAUAACAGUGUAGUAUUUUCAGGAAGUACUAAUUGAAGAAAAUAUUAACCACCUCGAUGUUGGACUAAGAUUUCCUUUAGGUGCAGGGGCUUUUAGGGUAGGUCUGUUCGGCCUUUAAUAUCUUACAUGA
This 465-nucleotide ribosomal RNA is filed under the name Plagioecia sp. SL-2011. RNAcentral describes it as "partial 16S ribosomal RNA". It matches the Rfam family "Bacterial large subunit ribosomal RNA", at positions 1834 to 2603 of the family's 2925-position model. Lineage: Eukaryota; Metazoa; Bryozoa; Stenolaemata; Cyclostomatida; Plagioeciidae. The record is from RNAcentral.